This 743-nucleotide ribosomal RNA is filed under the name uncultured archaeon. RNAcentral's name for it is "bacterial SSU rRNA". It matches the Rfam family "Archaeal small subunit ribosomal RNA", at positions 53 to 801 of the family's 1478-position model. The record is from RNAcentral.
GCGAGUCGAGAGGGUUCGGCCCUCGGCAGACGGCUCAGUAACACGUGGAUAAUCUGCCCUUAGGUGGAGGAUAACCUCGGGAAACUGAGAAUAAUACUCCAUAGAUCUAGGAGGCUGGAAUGCGCCUAGAUUGAAAGCUCCGGCGCCUAAGGAUGAGUCUGCGGACUAUCAGGUUGUAGUUAGGGUAAAGGCCUGACUAGCCUACGACGGAUACGGGUUGUGAGAGCAAUAACCCGGAGACGAUAUCUGAGACACGAUAUCGGGCCCUACGGGGCGCAGCAGGCGCGAAAACUUCACACUGUGCGAAAGCACGAUGAGGGAAUCCCAAGUGCUUGCACGUAAGUGUAAGCUGUUUCUUUGUUUAAAAAGCAAGGAGAGGAAGGGCUGGGUAAGACGGGUGCCAGCCGCCGCGGUAAUACCUGCAGCUCGAGUGGUGACCGCUAUUAUUGGGCCUAAAACAUUCGUAGCCGGCUGAGUAAAUGCUUGGGUAAAUCGUGUAGCUUAACUAUACGAAUUCCGAGUAGACUGCUUAGCUUGAGACCGGGAGAAGCUAGAGGUACUCCUGGGGUAGAGGUGAAGUUCUGUAAUCCUGGGGGGACCACCAGUGGCGAAGGCGUCUAGCUAGAACGGGUCUGACGGUGAGGAAUGAAACCCUGGGUCGCAAACCGGAUUAGAUACCCGGGUAGUCCAGGGCGCAAACGCUGCUUGCUUGAUGUUAGUCGGGCUCCGAGCUCGACUAGUGU